CACGUAGGUGGCAAGCGUUGUCCGGAUUUACUGGGCGUAAAGAGCGCGCAGGCGGUCGUUCAAGUCGCGUGUGAAAGCCCCCGGCUCAACUGGGGAGGGUCACGCGAUACUGAUCGACUCGAAGGCAGGAGAGGGAAGUGGAAUUCCCGGUGUAGUGGUGAAAUGCGUAGAUAUCGGGAGGAACACCAGUGGCGAAGGCGACUACCUGGCCUGUUCUUGACGCUGAGGCGCGAAAGCUAGGGGAGCAAACGGG
RNAcentral lists this ribosomal RNA (253 nucleotides) under uncultured bacterium. RNAcentral describes it as "partial 16S ribosomal RNA". It matches the Rfam family "Bacterial small subunit ribosomal RNA", at positions 524 to 776 of the family's 1533-position model. The record is from RNAcentral.